Molecule: unclassified non-coding RNA, 205 nt
Filed under: Hevea brasiliensis (rubber tree)
Lineage: Eukaryota; Viridiplantae; Streptophyta; Magnoliopsida; Malpighiales; Euphorbiaceae
Source: RNAcentral
AGUGCUAUUUGAGACCAUUAACCCGUCUUCGUUUGUAAGAUAUUCUUCAUGCAUGAAAAAUCCAAUUCCUUGAACAAAUGCCCCUUCAAUCUGUCCCAAAUCAAUGGCUGGAUUCAAGCUCUGCCCGCAGUCAUAAAUAAUAUCCGAUUGCAAAAUAGUAGUCUCUCCAGUCAAAAUAUCAAUCUCCACCUCACUGACAGCAGCG